This 429-nucleotide ribosomal RNA is filed under the name Actinomycetes bacterium. RNAcentral's name for it is "Actinobacteria bacterium partial 16S ribosomal RNA". It matches the Rfam family "Bacterial small subunit ribosomal RNA", at positions 355 to 776 of the family's 1533-position model. Lineage: Bacteria; Bacillati; Actinomycetota; Actinomycetes. The record is from RNAcentral.
UAGGGAAUCUUCCGCAAUGGGCGAAAGCUUGACGGAGCAACGCCGCGUGAGUGAUGAAGGUCUUCGGAUCGUAAAACUCUGUUAUUAGGGAAGAACAAAUGUGUAAGUAACUAUGCACGUCUUGACGGUACCUAAUCAGAAAGCCACGGCUAACUACGUGCCAGCAGCCGCGGUAAUACGUAGGUGGCAAGCGUUAUCCGGAAUUAUUGGGCGUAAAGCGCGCGUAGGCGGUUUUUUAAGUCUGAUGUGAAAGCCCACGGCUCAACCGUGGAGGGUCAUUGGAAACUGGAAAACUAGAGUGCAGGAGAGGAAAGUGGAAUUCCGUGUGUAGCGGUGAAAUGCGCAGAGAUAUGGAGGAACACCAGGGGCGAAGGCGACUUUCUGGUCUGUAACUGACGCUGAUGUGCGAAAGCGUGGGGAUCAAACAGG